This 324-nucleotide long non-coding RNA is filed under the name Medicago truncatula (barrel medic). Its description in RNAcentral is "long non-coding RNA (MTRU_LNC004508)". The record is from RNAcentral. Lineage: Eukaryota; Viridiplantae; Streptophyta; Magnoliopsida; Fabales; Fabaceae.
UAGCUCCUAGUUUGAACUAGUCCAUCCAUAGAUACAAGCAAACAUACCUUGUUUUAGCAUAUAUGAAUCCAGUUGAAUGAAAAUUUCAAACUCCAUUGCACUCAAUUUGUAAGGCACUGCUUCUGCAAAUACACUGAAGUGUAUCAAUUCUGAGGCAAAAUUGUCAUGUUGGUGCCUGUGUUGUAUAUUUUUUUUUUCAAUUAUUAGAAGCUGCAACUUAUAUAGAUAAAAAACCAUUGAAAUUUAGAGUUGAUAUUUGGAUUCGAUGUUGCACAUGGAUAGUGGUUUGUAUGGCUUAUAUGUGUGUUUUGAUCUGCUUUGUUU